RNAcentral lists this ribosomal RNA (466 nucleotides) under uncultured bacterium. RNAcentral describes it as "partial 16S ribosomal RNA". It matches the Rfam family "Bacterial small subunit ribosomal RNA", at positions 28 to 507 of the family's 1533-position model. The record is from RNAcentral.
GAUGAACGCUGGCGGCGUGCUUAACACAUGCAAGUCGAACGAUGAAGCCCAGCUUGCUGGGUGGAUUAGUGGCGAACGGGUGAGUAACACGUGAGUAACCUGCCCUUAACUCUGGGAUAAGCCUGGGAAACUGGGUCUAAUACCGGAUAGGAGCGUCCACCGCAUGGUGGGUGUUGGAAAGAUUUAUCGGUUUUGGAUGGACUCGCGGCCUAUCAGCUUGUUGGUGGGGUAAUGGCUCACCAAGGCGACGACGGGUAGCCGGCCCGAGAGGGUGACCGGCCACACUGGGACUGAGACACGGCCCAGACUCCUACGGGAGGCAGCAGUGGGGGAUAUUGCACAAUGGGCGCAAGCCUGAUGCAGCGACGCCGCGUGAGGGAUGACGGCCUUCGGGUUGUAAACCUCUUUCAGUAGGGAAGAAGCGAAAGUGACGGUACCUGCAGAAGAAGCACCGGCUAACUACGUG